CCUACGGGAGGCAGCAGUGAGGAAUAUUGGUCAAUGGGCGCGAGCCUGAACCAGCCAAGUCGCGUGAGGGAUGACGGUCCUACGGAUUGUAAACCUCGUUUGCCGGGGAGCAAGCGUGCGUGCGUGAACGCGCGUCGAGAGGACCCGGAGAAAAAGCAUCGGCUAACUCCGUGCCAGCAGCCGCGGUAAUACGGAGGAUGGGAGCGUGAUCCGGAUUGAUUGGGUUGAAAGGGUGCGUAGGCGGGAUGCCAAGUCAGCGGUAAAACUGCGGGGCGCAACGCCGUCGGGCCGUUGAAACUGGCGUUCUUGAGUGGGCGAGAAGUAUGCGGAAUGCGUGGUGUAGCGGUGACAUGCAUAGAUAUCACGCAGAACUCCGAUUGCGAAGGCAGCCUACCGGCGCCCUACUGACGCUGAGGCACGAAAGCGUGGGUAUCGAACAGGAUUAGAUACCCCAGUAGUC
Molecule: ribosomal RNA, 460 nt
Filed under: uncultured bacterium
Lineage: Bacteria
Description: partial 16S ribosomal RNA
Rfam family: Bacterial small subunit ribosomal RNA
Source: RNAcentral